AUCGAUAGAGGCGCGGGGUCGAUGAGUCGCGCGGCGGAGCUCCUCCAGGGGCAGCGAAACCGCACAAAAGGCGAACCCGCCGAAAUCCGGGGCGCGCUGGAGCCGCCGCGGGUUGGGGCGCCGGAGAACAUGCGGCGCACUGUCACAAUGUGCAUUGUGGAGCGCUAUCU
This 170-nucleotide non-coding RNA is filed under the name bovine gut metagenome. RNAcentral's name for it is "Lysine riboswitch". It matches the Rfam family "Lysine riboswitch aptamer". Rfam says of the family: Riboswitches are metabolite binding domains within certain messenger RNAs that serve as precision sensors for their corresponding targets. The record is from RNAcentral.